AAACCAACAGGGAUUGCCUUAGUAACGGCGAGUGAAGCGGCAAAAGCUCAAAUUUGAAAUCCAGUACCUUCGGUGCUCGAGUUGUAAUUUGAAGAUGGCGACUUUGGGGGUGGCCUUUAUCUAUGUUCCUUGGAACAGGACGUCACAGAGGGUGAGAAUCCCGUCUGAUGAGGUGAUCCACUCCUUUGUAAAGCGCUUUCGAAGAGUCGAGUUGUUUGGGAAUGCAGCUCUAAGUGGGUGGUAAAUUCCAUCUAAAGCUAAAUAUUGGCGAGAGACCGAUAGCGAACAAGUACAGUGAUGGAAAGAUGAAAAGAACUUUGAAAAGAGAGUGAAAAAGUACGUGAAAUUGUUGAAAGGGAAGGGUAUUAGAUCAGACUUGGCGUAGCGUGAUUAUCUUCCUCUUGUGGGAUGUGCACUCGCGCUGCUGCUGGGCCAGCAUCGAUUGGGACGGCGGGAUAACCGCGUGGGAACGUGGCACUGCUUCGGCGGUGUGUUAUAGCCCGCGUCUAUACCGCCUGGCUCGAUCGAGGACUGCGUCUUUAUGACUAGGAUGCUGGCGUAAUGAUCUAAUAUCGC
Molecule: ribosomal RNA, 576 nt
Filed under: Wickerhamomyces ulmi
Lineage: Eukaryota; Fungi; Ascomycota; Saccharomycetes; Phaffomycetales; Wickerhamomycetaceae
Description: eukaryotic LSU rRNA
Rfam family: Eukaryotic large subunit ribosomal RNA
Source: RNAcentral